AUCGCUUCUCGGCCUUUUGGCUAAGAUCAAGUGUAGUAUCUGUUCUUAUCAGUUUAAUAUCUGAUACGUCCCCUACCCGGGGACCAUAUAUUAAAUAGAUUUUUGGAACAGGGAGAUGGAAUAGGGGCUUGCUUCGUCCACUCCACGCAUCGACCUGGUAUUGCAGUACCUCCAGGAACGGUGCACCCCCC
This 191-nucleotide small nuclear RNA is filed under the name Salarias fasciatus (jewelled blenny). RNAcentral describes it as "U2 spliceosomal RNA (ENSSFAG00005006318.1)". It matches the Rfam family "U2 spliceosomal RNA". Rfam says of the family: U2 is a small nuclear RNA (snRNA) component of the spliceosome (involved in pre-mRNA splicing). Complementary binding between U2 snRNA (in an area lying towards the 5' end but 3' to hairpin I) and the branchpoint sequence (BPS) of the intron results the bulging out of an unpaired adenosine, on the BPS, which initiates a nucleophilic attack at the intronic 5' splice site, thus starting the first of two transesterification reactions that mediate splicing. The record is from Rfam by way of RNAcentral. Lineage: Eukaryota; Metazoa; Chordata; Actinopteri; Blenniiformes; Blenniidae.